Long non-coding RNA from Nicotiana tabacum (common tobacco), 3141 nucleotides. RefSeq lists it as uncharacterized. Lineage: Eukaryota; Viridiplantae; Streptophyta; Magnoliopsida; Solanales; Solanaceae. The record is from RefSeq and is a predicted model, not a curated record.
GUCAAUAUCUUUUCACUAUAAUAUUCCUAAAAACUGUAUACCCAUUGACCAAUAUGCCCUUUGAUUCCAAUCCCCAAAAGUUCUGCCCUAUUUACACAGACGCUUCAACCAGAAAAUAGCUUUGAGCAUAGCUUUAGAAAAGAAAGAAUGAGGCAACAGAGAGAUUGGGAUUUUCUGUAAAAGGGUGGUUUCCCCUCUAUGUUAUGCCUGUGAUUUCUCCAUUGAAAAUCAACAGCCUUUUCAAUUAGACAAAAAAACAAAAAAAAAAUCAUCCAAACAGACCCUUAAUAUAUUCCUCUUUCUCUUCCUCCUCUUCUUGUGCUGCUGCUACUGAAUACUUUAUAUAAAGGGGCCGUGAUGAUUACUUCUCCUUUCUGGGUUGUGUUCAAUUCAUGGCUAUGAGAAAAUAUCCGACCUGUAUCUUGGCGGGGCGACCCGGGCAAUCUGGAGGAGAUUGCAGCCAUGGCGGUUUUGAGAAACUCAAUGCCUGAUCAUUGUGAGAUAUGAGCCUCAUAUGAAAAUAGCAAAAAUCUCAUUAGUUUAAGUCUGAGGCUGCUGUGAAAGCAGAGGGCUGUGGGGAGUUUCAAUUGAUGGUUUUGCCCCUCUCUGUCAUUCUCUGAUGCUGAUGAUCACUCAAAUGAAAAAAAUUUCUGAUUCCAAAACCAGCCUUUUGGUGAAAAUACAUAUAACCUUUCUAUUUUCCUUUCUUGUUACGCCGAGGCUAUGAAGAUUUUGUUCUUCUGUGAAAGAUGAAACAAGAGAUUUCUAUUGAGCUGUGUAUUGGAAAAUAUUCCACUUCUUGGUGCUUCUUCUAUGUCCUGUAAGGCUAACUGAUGCUUGCAGCCAUGGCGGUUUUACCAAAGUUUUUUUGGUUUCUGUCUGAUGAAAGGCGAAUCUGAGCCUACGCCAUUACUUUGAGUUUGGUUUUUGCUUUUCGCUGCUCCUUGGUUUUACCCCAUUAAUUUGAGCUUACUCAAAAGCUUUCACUAAUGACUCAGUCCUAAUUCCUAACGAAAGAAAGAGAAAUAUAUACAAGAAAUAAUUAAUAUUUACAGCUUUCAGGAUAGUAUAAAAAGAACUGUUAUGGAGAUGUAACAAAACAAAAGCUCAAGAAAACGAGAAUGAGGCUUCAGAGAGUUUAGGAUUUUCUGCUGAAAGAGUGGUUGCCUCUCUCUGUAUUAGCCCAUGAUUUAUCCACUACUGUAACAAUCCCAACAACCCUGUAAAAAUUUCAUGGAAUGGCCAGUUUUCAUCUUGCUAUUUAAGCUAUAUCCAGUUUUUCAAAGUAUUAAUUUGUAGUCAGUGUUGGUGAGUAUGAUUGACUGCUUGAAAGAGGCGAUGAUGAUUUUUUUGUCAAUCUUCUAUUCCCUUCUGAUCUUGUCAGUUGGGCAUUUGAGAUGAUUCGACUCGUAUCUUGGCAGGGCAUGCCCCCAGAUUUCUGGUGUUUUUUUGCAGCUAUGGCGUUGUCGGAUAUCCUUUUACUUCAGUUAUAACACGGAUCUGAGCCUUAAAACCGUAUAUACCCAGUUGGACCGAAGCAGGGGUGAUUUGCACAAAUAGGAUGCUUUGAGGCCACUAUUUAUAUUUUGUUGCGUAAGUAUUUCUGCAAGCAGAGAGCUGUGGGGUGUUUCAAUGGGUGGUUUUGCCCCUCUGUCAUUCUACGCUGCCAAUGAUCACUCAAAUGAAAAACUUUUCCAAUUACAAAACCACCCUUUUGGUGAAAAUACAUUUGACCUUUCUAGUUUCCUUUUCUUGUUACUCCCUCGGUUUCAUUUUAUGUGCAAUGAGACUGAAAAUUUUGUUCUUCUGUAGGAUAAGAAUCAGAUAUCUUUCUCUUACAACAACAGCAACAUACCAGUGAAAUCCCAGUGUAGUCUGGGUAGUGUGUACGCAGACGUUACGCCUGCCUACCUUGUGAAAAUAGAGAGGUUGUUUCCGAUAGAGUUGUAAAAAUCAAAAUUUGAGAUUAUCCAUACUGUAUCUUGGCGGGGCAUGCCCCCAAAUUUCUGGUGGUUUAUGCCGCCAUGGUGUCUUCGGAUCGCUUUUUGCAUCUGUCAAGUUGAAGUGUCUCGAUGACAAUUCAUGACAAGUUUGAGUUGUUAUCUAUGUAUUCUGCCUAUCUGAAAUAAUAAUAAAAUAUAAUACAAUACAACGGUAACAACCAUCCAAACAAGCUGUUAUUAGUCUAUUUGGUUUAGAGACAAGUUAUGUCAGUGGUGGUGAGUAUGAUUGAUGGCUUGAAUUCAUUCCCUUUUGAGCUUAUUAAUCAGGCAUUUGAGAUUAUCUGACCCGUAUUUUGGCAGGGCAUGCUUUAGGUUUCCCUUAGUGGUAUUUGCAGUCAUCGCGUUGUCAGACUCUUUUUGCUUGAGUUAUAACAUAGAUCUGAGCCUCAAAAAGGAAGCACAAAAAUGGUGAUAAUCUCGUUAGUUUAAGUUUAAGGUUGUGGUGAAAGCAGAGAGCUGUGGAGAGUUUCUAUGGGUGGUUUUGCCCCUGUCUUUUUCUGCUGCCGAUGAUCUCUUAAAUGAAAAAUUUUCCAGUUGCAAAACCACCCUUUUGGUGAAAUUUCAGUUAACCUCCCUCUUUUCCUUUUCUAGUAACUCCCUCCGCUUUAUUUUAUGUGUGAUGAGGCAUGAAGAUCUUGUUCUUCUGUGGAAGAUGAAUCAGAUGUAUCUUUCUAAUGAGCUGAAAAAAUCUGUAUCUUGGCGUGGCAGCUCAGGUGGGUGUUUGAGAUAUUUGGAAAAAUUCCAUUUUUUUGGUUUUUCUUAUGUGUCUCACAAGAGUAACUGAUGCUUGCAGCUAUGGCUGCUUUUUCAAAGCUUUUUGGUUUUUGUCUGAGAAAAGGCGAAUCUAAGCCUAUUACAUUGCCUUGAUUUUGUUAAAAGAAUGAGCUUUUGGACUCGGAAAAUGAAGGAGUUCCUAAGGGUGGUUGCUCUGUUUCUCUUUGAGUUGAUACGUAUCUUGGCUUGACAAAAUUCAGUCGAAUUUGUGUGGUGGUUUUAUUUUCUCUUACAGUAAGCCAUCUGCCUUUUGUAGCCAUGGCGGACUUGCUCAUUUUCUGAUGGUUUUUGGACAAAUCUGAUUUGGAUCGGGUUGCGCGCCGCAACAAUAGUUAAUAAAAGUGCUUAGUAACAGUUACGAGUU